AAAAUUUUGUGCCUUGUUGAAUGUUCUCCCUCUCUCUCGAGUUCUCUUCUCUCAAGUUCUUUCUUUCUCUCUUCAAGUUCUUUCUUUCUCUCUUCAAGGUCUCUUCCCUCUCGAGUUUCUCCCCCUUCUCCCUUGAAUUUCUCUCAUUCUCCCCCUCAAGUUUCUUCCUUGAACCAUCAUAAUUGAUCCUCCCAUCCUUGUGAGAGAUUUGAUCAACCCCAUUCUCUUCAUCCUCCUCCCCACCCAUCACAUCCUUCCUCUCUUCUCCACUUCGAGUCACCCCAUCUCUUUAUCUACUAAUGCCUCUUCUUCAACCUUUGGGCAAUCAUUUGCAAAGGAGAUCAAAGCCAUUCUCAAGGAGUCAAGAGGACCCUCAAGCAAUCAAGAAUUCUCUAUAAGGUAUUUAAUUUUUCAUUCCUCUUAAGUGCUUAAUUUGAUCAUCACUUGAAGUAUAUUGCUCUAAAUUAUUGUGUGAAGCCUUUAAGAUAGCCACCUUUGCCUAUUUGGUGAUCCAAAGCCCAUGUUCCUAAGUUUGAUUUAUCUUAUUGAAUUAGGGUUCUCAAUCAAAGCAACCAUAAAUCUAGAUCCUAUCUAAAUCAUAUUGUGUGUUGAGUGAUUUGACUAUCUCAAUUGAAUUUACCAAAAGUCAACCUUUAAUCUCUCUUUUUGAAGCCUCUUUGUGGAAAUCAUAAAUCUCUCUAUCUAUCCUACAUCAAAAGCAUUAUGACAUAUAAUCUAUAAAUUAAAAUUUUCCUCUAACUUUCAUCCUUAUACAAGGGUAUUUCCUAAUGACUUCCCACCUUCAUUUAAAUUUAUUCUUUUAGUAUUUUUCUAAUUGUCAUAUGUUAGUGAACACUAGUUUGUGCUCUAAUCAUCUAGGUAAUGGAAUGUGAGAGAGUGAUCUCUAUUUAGUUUUAUUAGACCAAAUAUUAAGUGUGGAAUGCCUAAAUCAUGACAGUUUUUUAAUUGCAUUAGUAUCUCUCCUUUUUUGGCUCAUAGAAACCUCAAGGCCUGACCACCAUGAUAGCUGAUCUAUUAGAACACAAUCCUUUUCUGAGAAUUUGUUGAGGUGAUUAGCCCCUUUGUCAAAUGUCAUGUGUCAAGUUAUUAGUAAAAAUUAUUAAACCAAAAAAUAUCAUGAACCAUUAGUCUUGGAGGGUAUAUAUCGGAAAUAAAGGCACUUAUACAUCAAUUCUAGUUGUUUAAAAGGAUUUAAACCAGAAAAUUAUUUGAAUUAUAAUGGACGACUUUAUUUUUAUGAUCAUUUAAUAAUAAUAAUAGUUAGUUCAACCAGUAAAGUUCUGCUGUCAUUCUGACGCAUCCACAACAAUUCCCUCACAUACGUCUCCCUACUGGGAACAGGCAGCAUGGCCCUGCCGCCGGCAGCGUCGUGGUCCAAUUAGGUUAGACAACUGAAAAAAUUCUGCCGCCACACAAACCCGAUCCGAAUGUGGUGGAGCAUGUACCCAAGCUCCACCAAUGAAGGCAACGACGUCAAAGGAUGUCACAUCAUCUGCAGCCAUCCCACGUCGUCGCCGUCGGAAUCAACUGAAGGAUCCGAAUUUCCUUUAUUAUUAGGCUUAAUUUUCACUCAUUUUGCUUGAUCAUAUUCUAAUCUUCUUUUUCAUUCCAAAGCCUAUAAAUAGGCUUAAGAAUUCCUUGAACUGGUGGCUGAUUUUGGGAUUAAGAAAGGUAUCUUUCCUAAGAACAUGCCUUAGGGGAUCUGUGCAACCGCCACCACCUAUAGCCGCCACCGUCGCAUGGGUCCCACCCUACUCCAAGGUCAACCUUCCCUCUCUGGGUGAACCCUCCACCAGCUCUCGCACACUCCUCUUCGUGCUGACGGCCUCCUGUCAGUUCACUGAUCACGCACGGCGGACUUCCUUCUGUGAGUGUCUGCGAGACCUAACCAUCUUGACGCACGACAGAAUGCCCCACAGUGGUGAACGUCCUCCGCAUCAGCGUCAGGCGUCCGCCGUCGAGGGACGGUUCCGCUGGAUCGUCGUCUGCAUGCAACGAGCUCCUCUCCAUGGCGUCCGUGC
Molecule: long non-coding RNA, 2042 nt
Filed under: Spirodela polyrhiza (greater duckweed)
Lineage: Eukaryota; Viridiplantae; Streptophyta; Magnoliopsida; Alismatales; Araceae
Description: long non-coding RNA (SPOL_LNC001661)
Source: RNAcentral